This 500-nucleotide ribosomal RNA is filed under the name Scutellastra granularis. RNAcentral describes it as "partial 16S ribosomal RNA". It matches the Rfam family "Bacterial large subunit ribosomal RNA", at positions 1807 to 2595 of the family's 2925-position model. The record is from RNAcentral. Lineage: Eukaryota; Metazoa; Mollusca; Gastropoda; Patellidae.
UCAAAAACAUGGCUCUUUGUACAAAAAAGAUAGGGAGUCUGGCCUGCUCAAUGAUGAUUUUCAUUAAAUAGCCGCAGUAUCCUGACUGCGUGAAAAGUAGCAUAAUAAUUUGCCUUUUUAUUGGUGGCUGGUAUGAAAUGGUACUAUGAGGGUGAAGCUGUCUCUAGCAUAUUCUUUUGAAGUUACCUAUUAGGUGAAAAGGCCUAAAUAGUUUUAUAAGACAAGAAGACCCUGUCAAGCUUUAUAGCGGGCAGGAGGUUUAAAAUCCUGUUCUGGUAUUUGAUUGGGGCAAUCGGGGAGCAAGAAGAAUCUCCCUUUUUUUUCUUCCUUCUAGGAAUGACCCGCCUAAGGCGAUCUGGGGAAAAAGUUACUGCAGGGAUAACAGCGUAAUUUUCUCUGUGAGCUCUUAUUUAAGAGAAAGUUUGCGACCUCGAUGUUGGAUUAGGGUAUCCUGAAGGUGCAGAAGCUUUCAAGGGUUGGUUUGUUCAACCAUUAAAACC